RNAcentral lists this long non-coding RNA (265 nucleotides) under Gossypium barbadense (sea-island cotton). RNAcentral describes it as "long non-coding RNA (GBAR_LNC018664)". Lineage: Eukaryota; Viridiplantae; Streptophyta; Magnoliopsida; Malvales; Malvaceae. The record is from RNAcentral.
AAAAGAAAAUUUGAAGACAAGUGCCUGCCGUCGCUGUAUGAAAAUUGCGGAAUAGACCCCACACGCUUGCAAGUCCAUACCCUCGUGCCAUCCACGUCUCUCUAAUAAAAUAACCACUGUUUUAUCUCAAUUAAUGCCGUGUCAGCCGCACCCUCAAAACCACUGAUCCAAUUUUAUAAAAAGAACAUCAAAUCACUGAAUCAUCACCAAUUUGUAAUCAUCGUCAACCGUCCGAUUCUCCAUCAUAGGAUUCCGUAUAAAUGAA